AGAGUUUGAUCAUGGCUCAGGAUAAACGCUGGCGGCGUGCCUAACACAUGCAAGUCGAACGCUCUUCGCAAGAAGAGAGUGGCGGACGGGUGAGGAACACGUGGGUUAUCUACCUUGAGGUGAGGAAUACCGGCGAGAAAUCGCCGACAAAACCGCAUGAGCUCGUGCGAGCGAGCAAAGUCGCAAGACGCCCCAAGAUG
This 200-nucleotide ribosomal RNA is filed under the name uncultured bacterium. RNAcentral describes it as "partial 16S ribosomal RNA". It matches the Rfam family "Bacterial small subunit ribosomal RNA", at positions 8 to 227 of the family's 1533-position model. The record is from RNAcentral.